UAGGGAAUCUUCGGCAAUGGGGGGAACCCUGACCGAGCAACGCCGCGUGAGUGAAGAAGGUUUUCGGAUCGUAAAGCUCUGUUGUUAAGGAAGAACGAGUGUGAGAAUGGAAAGUUCAUACUGUGACGGUACUUAACCAGAAAGGGACGGCUAACUACGUGCCAGCAGCCGCGGUAAUACGUAGGUCCCGAGCGUUGUCCGGAUUUAUUGGGCGUAAAGCGCGCGCAGGCGGACUAGCCAGUCAGUCUUAAAAGUUCGGGGCUUAACCCCGUGAUGGGAUUGAAACUACUAGUCUAGAGUAUCGGAGAGGAAAGUGGAAUUCCUAGUGUAGCGGUGAAAUGCGUAGAUAUUAGGAAGAACACCAGUGGCGAAGGCGACUUUCUGGACGAACACUGACGCUGAGGCGCGAAAGCCAGGGGAGCGAACGGG
RNAcentral lists this ribosomal RNA (429 nucleotides) under Bacteroidota bacterium. RNAcentral's name for it is "Bacteroidetes bacterium partial 16S ribosomal RNA". It matches the Rfam family "Bacterial small subunit ribosomal RNA", at positions 355 to 776 of the family's 1533-position model. Lineage: Bacteria; Pseudomonadati; Bacteroidota. The record is from RNAcentral.